UACACCAACAGUUAAUUUUAAUCCAACAUCGAGGUCGCAAUCUAUUUUUUCGAUAAGAGCUCUAAAAAUAAUUACGCUGUUAUCCCUAAGGUAAUUUAUUCUUAUAAUCUAAAUAAUAGGAUCAAAAACUUACAAAUUAAUAUCUAACUAAGAAAAAGUUAAUUUAAUUUUUCUAUCACCCCAACAAAAUACACAUCCAAAACUUCUAAAAAAUAUUCUAAAAUUUAAAAAUUUUUAAAAUAUAUAAAACUCUAUAGGGUCUUCUCGUCUUCAAUAAAAAUUUAAGCUUUUUAACUUAAAAAUAAAAUUUUAAUAAAUUUUUCUAGAGACAGUAAUUUUUUCAUUAAACCUUUCAUACAAGCUUCCAAUUAAAAAACUAAUGAUUAUGCUACCUUUGCACAGUCAAAAUACCGCGGCCAUUUAAUCAUAUCAGUGGGCAGGUCCGACCUGAAAUUAUCUACAACAAGCCAUGUU
RNAcentral lists this ribosomal RNA (474 nucleotides) under Trigonopterus abnormis. RNAcentral's name for it is "partial 16S ribosomal RNA". The record is from RNAcentral. Lineage: Eukaryota; Metazoa; Arthropoda; Insecta; Coleoptera; Curculionidae.